CAAAAUAUGAAAAACAUAAACGAGAAAAUCCGAAAGUUCAAAGAAAAACACAAAAGGCCCAACUCCAAAAAAGAAACCCAUCAAAAGCCCAAAAAUACCUGACCCGAACUAACCGAAGCAAAUCAAUCCAUAAACCCGACAUCACGAGAGAAACCAACGAUCAACGAUCUCCGUACCCAGAACUCUGAUCGACAAUGGCCGCCACUGCAUCCUUGGACUCCUUCGGAAGCUUGAUACUGUUCUUCAGCUUCUCUCUCUUGCUCGCCACCGACGGCGACUCCUCUAGCAUCCUCUGAAGACCUCCGCCAGCUCUUGGAUCCACCAUCUCCGCCACAAUCUCCUUCUGAAACUAAUAAUUCACGAGAUUCUUCACUGACAGCUGAAGAUACAGAGCAAGACUGUCCACAAUCCUUCGUAAGACUAUCGUCCAGUAAGAUGCUAUCCUCAUCUUCAUAUCGAAGGCUUGCUGCAGGAGAUGAGCAUGAUACUUCCGUAGGUGAGAGAUCUUCACAAUUCCACCAAAUCCAGUCAACGAGAAGUGCUCAGGCUUUUUCCCAUCGGACAACACAGCAUAAAUGAAGUUUUGUUGUUCAGCAGUCAUCUGAGUCCAAGACGUCAUGUACUCAGGGUUACAUGUGUAAUCAGUCAGCUUCUCCAUUUCAACAAUCUCCAACACUCGCUCCACAGAGUGUUCCUUGAUCUUGGUGAUUAGAUUUCGACCAGCACGUUUGAUGGCAGAUUGGAUCUGUGGGAAGUUUUCAGAAUACUUGGCAAUGACGGAUGAGAGAACAACUUCAAUGUAGUCCCAUAUCUUCUUGAUGAACUCCACGGGCUUGACAUGUAUGGCAUCUUCGUGUUGUGAUAGUAUAGCCAAGAAGGCUGACCUGGGGAUGAAAUUGGGCAGUCCAACACACUUGCAUUCGUCAAGGAUCUUGAUCUCAUUCAUCAAGAACUCGGUCACUUCCUUUGGCUUCUCUUGCAGAUUAUCGGAGAAUUGGCUUAACAUGUCAGCCAAACGAGCAGUACAGUGCAUGUUCUGGUCAUCCGGGAAUUCAGAGAAGUCUCCUUGGACAAGGAUUCUGAAGAGGGACUCCUUGGCAGAACCAAUGAUGUCCAUCAAUGCCAUCAAUGCUUCUCCGGUAGAAGCCAUAACCAUCGGUAGCUUGUUCAACUCCAGGACAGCAGUUUCCAUCUUGUGAUUGAUCUUGCGAACGAUUUCAGGCAAACAGCGGGAAAUCAUCGUUGCUUGGAUAAGCAUUAGCUUCUGAGCUAUAACAGGGAUUCCCACGAUGUCUUCAUCAAUCAAGCUCAGCAUCGGGAGACCUUCGGGAGCCAUGUCUGCCUUGGUGACAACGGCCAGAGUCCGUUCACAUACGGAUGGAUUCACAGGUGGUGAAGUCGACUGUAGCUGACAGAACAUUGAGGAUUAUUGAUUCUUGUGGCUCGAUGUACUUCAUGAUCAUCCCAGAAAUCUGUUCGUAAAUAUUCUCCGGUUGUCCAUUCACUGGCCUCGAGUUAUACCGGGAAGAUCGACCAUGGUAAGAUAUGGGACCCCAGCCUUCUUAACAUGGAGGGUCAAUGGAGCGUCUGAGACCCCUUUGCCAGAUCCUGCAGUAUAGGUAGUCAAAAGUUCAAAACUGGUUAGCAUCACACACAACACUUUUAGUUCCUUCAAAUAGCAAAACUAGUAGUAUAAAGAGCACUAAAGUUAUCAGACUACACUAGGUUUUCCAUAAUCAUAUUUCAAAUCUAGGUACUUGUAUUCAGGUUCAUGUAGACAUCUUAUUUUAGGGACAUCAAUGGUAGUAAGUAACACUAUGAAGUUUCAACAGUAAGUAACGUGAACAGCUAAAGUAUAAUUAACAGCAUGAAAAAAAACCAGACCAUUAAGAUCCAACUAGGAGUUUCAGAGUAUAUAAAACACAUCACUAGGCACUGUCAUUUAGGUAUAUGUACACAUCUAACUCCAAGGAAUUCUAUGGUAAGUAAACCAACUUCGUUCAAAUAUUCAUGUUUUAGAUUAAAGGUCGCACUCUCAGUAAUCUCUCUUGCAGCUAAACACACUUAAUACCAAGAUAGAGAGUGAACUUACCAGCAAUCACAUCUGUUGCAGCACAGAUAGCUUCAGCGAUGUGCUCCUCAUCCGUGGGAACAAUCUUGUCACUGUACUCAAGCCAUAUCUCAGGUACAGGGCUAGAGCUUCGCUGAAGUCGCAUGACAAGAGGAACCCUAGUGCAGAUUCCUUGGCCACGAGGUAGACUGAUUCCUGCCAACGAGUCGAGGACACUUGACUUCCCCGAGGACUGGUCUCCAACCACGACAAUGGUGGGAAGCUGAAUGCCUUCUCUCAUCACAUUGAGGUUCCUUAGACGGUCAACCGUGUCAAGCAACGGCCUAAUCCUAUCGUUAUAUGAAGAUAUAAUCGGUGCUUCGAUGGGAACAACUUCUCUGUUGUCAUGAGGAUUCGCCUGGACAAUUGCAAGAGAAGGAGAAGAGGUUCUAGUGACAACAUGCUUCUUACUACCUCCCAUUUGUGUUCUUUUAGAGAUAAGACAAGAGUAGAAGAUAUAAAAGACAGAAAAGAGAAGUUCUAUGGGUAAGUGAGAUUCUUCUUAGAGAUAUGCAAAGAUAUAUAUAGAGAUAUUAGAAGGGCUUUGUGUAUACGAAGAAUUUACGAAGCAAGUAAAUUGCAUGAAAGGAUGCAAGUAGCGUGCAUGUUGGAAUUGAAAAAAGCUAAUUAAGUCAGUAAUUGCACCUAUAUCUAGCUCGUAGUUGAAACUAAAACGUCUCUCUUAAGAUGUGUAUUUGAAUAUUUUAUUGGUUCCAAUUGGCUGAAUUCUUUUGUGGUGAAGUUUGGAAUUUUGACUAAAGGCGUAACUUGAUAAUUUUCG
RNAcentral lists this long non-coding RNA (2891 nucleotides) under Arabidopsis thaliana (thale cress). RNAcentral's name for it is "potential natural antisense gene, locus overlaps with AT1G60510 (AT1G60505)". Lineage: Eukaryota; Viridiplantae; Streptophyta; Magnoliopsida; Brassicales; Brassicaceae. The record is from RNAcentral.